CCUACGGGAGGCAGCAGUGAGGAAUCUUGGUCAAUGGGCGCGAGCCUGAACCAGCAACGUAGCGUGAAGGAUGACUGUCCUACGGGUUGUAAACUUCUUUUAUAAAUGAAUACAUUGAGGCAAGUGUGCCUUUUUGUCUGUACUUUAUGUAUACGGAACGGCUAACUCCGUGCCAGCAGCCGCGGUAAUACGGAGGAUCCGAGCGUUAUCCGGAUUUAUUGGGUUUAAAGGGAGCGUAGAUGGGUUGUUAAGUCAGUUGUGAAAGUUUGCGGCUCAACCGUACAAUUGCAAUGGAUACUGGCAGCCUUGAGUACAGUAGAGGAAGGCGGAAUUCGUGGUGUAGCGGUGAAAUGCUUAGAUAUAACGAAGAACUCCGAUGGCGAAGGCAGCCUACUAAUCUGCCACUGACAUUGAUGCGCGAAAGUGUGGGGAUCAAACAGGAUUAGAUACCCGAGUAGUC
RNAcentral lists this ribosomal RNA (460 nucleotides) under uncultured bacterium. Its description in RNAcentral is "partial 16S ribosomal RNA". It matches the Rfam family "Bacterial small subunit ribosomal RNA", at positions 338 to 795 of the family's 1533-position model. The record is from RNAcentral.